CACGUAGGGUGCGAGCGUUGUCCGGAAUUAUUGGGCGUAAAGGGCUCGUAGGCGGCCAACUAAGUCCGACGUGAAAUCCCCAGGCUUAACCUGGGAACUGCGUCGGAUACUGGAUGGCUUGAAUUCGGGAGGGGGAUGCAGAAUUCCAGGUGUAGCGGUGAAAUGCGUAGAUAUCUGGAGGAAUACCGGUGGCGAAGGCGGCAUCCUGGACCGACAUUGACGCUGAUGAGCGAAAGCUAGGGGAGCAAACGGG
RNAcentral lists this ribosomal RNA (253 nucleotides) under uncultured bacterium. RNAcentral's name for it is "partial 16S ribosomal RNA". It matches the Rfam family "Bacterial small subunit ribosomal RNA", at positions 524 to 776 of the family's 1533-position model. The record is from RNAcentral.